CAUUUGCAUGGAGUUUACGCUUGCCGUAACUUGCAUGCUCUAAUUCCAUCCUUGUUGAGUCCAUUAAUCUUCGAGUUAACUGCUGAGACUUGUGCUGUGAGCAGCUGUAUAACUUGUGUGUCCCGGUGACCAAUAUCUGGCUCCUGAGUCGGGAGGCUAGUUGUUCUAGUACCCUGGUGGUGGUGUUUGGAGCAAGGAAUGUGGAUUGCCGUUUGUGAUCACUCACCUCACUGUGUGUAUGUGUGUGCGUGCGGGUGACGACACGUUCGAGCUGCAUUUGGUGCUCCUCGAGCUGGAGGCCGUGGAGAAGCAG
This is a long non-coding RNA of Cyprinus carpio (common carp), 313 nucleotides long. RefSeq lists it as uncharacterized. The record is from RefSeq and is a predicted model, not a curated record. The transcript is spliced from 3 exons. NCBI's taxonomy places the organism in Eukaryota, Metazoa, Chordata, Actinopteri, Cypriniformes, Cyprinidae.